RNAcentral lists this ribosomal RNA (727 nucleotides) under uncultured Cortinarius. RNAcentral's name for it is "eukaryotic LSU rRNA". The stretch from base 451 to 727 matches the Rfam family "Eukaryotic large subunit ribosomal RNA", at positions 1 to 269 of the family's 3401-position model. The record is from RNAcentral. Lineage: Eukaryota; Fungi; Basidiomycota; Agaricomycetes; Agaricales; Cortinariaceae.
CCUUUUGUAGACCCAGGGAUAUCUUUCCAGGGGNNNUAUGUUGCUUCUUCAUUUACCCCAAUGUAUGUCAAUAGAAUGUUGUGCCCAUGAUAAAAAUCUAUACAACUUUNAGCAACGGAUCUCUUGGCUCUCGCAUCGAUGAAGAACGCAGCGAAAUGCGAUAAGUAAUGUGAAUUGCAGAAUUCAGUGAAUCAUCGAAUCUUUGAACGCACCUUGCGCUCCUUGGUAUUCCGAGGAGCAUGCCUGUUUGAGUGUCAUUAAUAUUAUAUGUCAAACCCUCUUUUUCUGAGUGGUUUGGAUGUGGGGGUGCUGGCCUCUUGAAGGGGUCAGCUCCCCUGAAAUACAUUAGCAGAACGACCUGUUUGUUCAUUGGUGUGAUAACUAUCUACGCUAUUGAACAGUGAAGGCAGUUCAGCUUCCUAAAAGUCUUUGGACAAUUUAUCAUCUAUGUGACCUCAAAUCAGGUAGGACUACCCGCUGAACUUAAGCAUAUCAAUAAGCGGAGGAAAAGAAACUAACAAGGAUUCCCCUAGUAACUGCGAGUGAAGCGGGAAAAGCUCAAAUUUAAAAUCUGGCGGUCUUUUGGCUGUCCGAGUUGUAAUCUAGAGAAGCGUUAUCCGCGCUGGACCAUGUACAAGUCUCCUGGAAUGGAGCAUCACAGAGGGUGAGAAUCCCGUCUUUGACAUGGACUGCCAGGGCUUUUGUGAUGCGCUCUCAAAGAGUCGAG